UACGAAGGGGGCUAGCGUUGCUCGGAAUCACUGGGCGUAAAGGGUGCGUAGGCGGGUCUUUAAGUCAGGGGUGAAAUCCUGGAGCUCAACUCCAGAACUGCCUUUGAUACUGAAGAUCUUGAGUUCGGGAGAGGUGAGUGGAACUGCGAGUGUAGAGGUGAAAUUCGUAGAUAUUCGCAAGAACACCAGUGGCGAAGGCGGCUCACUGGCCCGAUACUGACGCUGAGGCACGAAAGCGUGGGGAGCGAACUGG
This 253-nucleotide ribosomal RNA is filed under the name uncultured bacterium. RNAcentral's name for it is "partial 16S ribosomal RNA". It matches the Rfam family "Bacterial small subunit ribosomal RNA", at positions 524 to 776 of the family's 1533-position model. The record is from RNAcentral.